RNAcentral lists this unclassified non-coding RNA (356 nucleotides) under Chytridiomycota sp. RNAcentral describes it as "partial contains small subunit ribosomal RNA, internal transcribed spacer 1, and 5.8S ribosomal RNA". The stretch from base 1 to 47 matches the Rfam family "Eukaryotic small subunit ribosomal RNA", at positions 1785 to 1831 of the family's 1831-position model. Lineage: Eukaryota; Fungi; Chytridiomycota. The record is from RNAcentral.
AAAGUCGUAACAAGGUAACCGUAGGUGAACCUGCGGUUGGAUCAUUAAUAAGUUUUUGGUUUCAAACCAAACAACCCUGUGUGCUAUGUUUUCUGUUUCUCGUGGUUCGAGUGCCCAGUUCUCAUUAAGAGAACUGCGCCUGCGUUUGACUUUGAUGAGAUUUCUUCUCGUCGGUUGAAUGGCUGUUCCACGAAAAGAGUCUGGGCGUGUUGAGUCUUCAGAAGUAUUUCUGCUGAUUCCAUUUGCAGACUUGUAAAUCAACCUAUUAAGCUGUAUUCUUUAAUGUCUUAUUUUUUUCACAUUUUUUCGAUGUGUAAAUUUUAUAACAACUUUUGACAACGGAUCUCUUGGCUCUC